UGCCCAGGAAUGGGAAUCGAACCCACAGUGUUCCGCUUACCGGGCAGAUGCCAUGUCCACUAGGCUACCCUGGAC
RNAcentral lists this transfer RNA (75 nucleotides) under Cordylochernes scorpioides. RNAcentral's name for it is "tRNA-Thr". The record is from RNAcentral. Lineage: Eukaryota; Metazoa; Arthropoda; Arachnida; Pseudoscorpiones; Chernetidae.